RNAcentral lists this ribosomal RNA (383 nucleotides) under uncultured bacterium. Its description in RNAcentral is "bacterial SSU rRNA". It matches the Rfam family "Bacterial small subunit ribosomal RNA", at positions 29 to 414 of the family's 1533-position model. The record is from RNAcentral.
AUUGAACGCUGGCGGCAUGCCUUACACAUGCAAGUCGAACGGUAACGCGGGGCAACCUGGCGACGAGUGGCGAACGGGUGAGUAAUGCAUCGGAACGUGCCCAGUAGUGGGGGAUAGCCCGGCGAAAGCCGGAUUAAUACCGCAUACGACCUAUGGGUGAAAGCGGGGGAUCGUAAGACCUCGCGCUAUUGGAGCGGCCGAUGUCAGAUUAGGUUGUUGGUGGGGUAAAAGCCUACCAAGCCUGCGAUCUGUAGCUGGUCUGAGAGGACGACCAGCCACACUGGGACUGAGACACGGCCCAGACUCCUACGGGAGGCAGCAGUGGGGAAUUUUGGACAAUGGGGGGCAACCCUGAUCCAGCCAUGCCGCGUGAGUGAAGAAGG